AAGGGGAGCAAUCCCUGAGUAAAGUGGCGACCGGGUGAGUAACACGUGACUAACCUACCCUCGGGUGUGGAAUAACAUCGGGAAACCGAUGCUAAUACCGCACAACAUCGCAAGAUCAAAGGAGCAAUCCGCUUGAGGAGGGGGUCGCGGCUGAUUAGCUAGUUGGCGGGGUAACGGCCCACCAAGGCGAAGAUCGGUAGCCGGCCUGAGAGGGCGCACGGCCACACUGGAACUGAAACACGGUCCAGACUCCUACGGGAGGCAGCAGUGGGGAAUUUUGCGCAAUGGGGGAAACCCUGACGCAGCAACGCCGCGUGGAGGAUGAAGCCCCUUGGG
This 336-nucleotide ribosomal RNA is filed under the name uncultured bacterium. RNAcentral describes it as "bacterial SSU rRNA". It matches the Rfam family "Bacterial small subunit ribosomal RNA", at positions 72 to 422 of the family's 1533-position model. The record is from RNAcentral.